GACGAACGCUGGCGGCGUGCUUAACACAUGCAAGUCGAACGAAAAGAGGGAAAGAGCUUGCUCUUUCCGGAAUUGAGUGGCAAACGGGUGAGUAACACGUAAACAACCUGCCUUCAGGAUGGGGACAACAGACGGAAACGACUGCUAAUACCGAAUAAGUUCCAAGAGCCGCAUGGCCCAUGGAAGAAAAGGUGGCCUCUACCUGUAAGCUAUCGCCUGAAGAGGGGUUUGCGUCUGAUUAGCUGGUUGGAGGGGUAACGGCCCACCAAGGCGACGAUCAGUAGCCGGUCGGAGAGGAUGAGCAGCCACACUGGAACUGAGACACGGCCCAGACUCCUACAGGAGGCAGCAGUGGGGAAUCUUCCGCAAUGGGCGAAAGCCUGACGGAGAAACGCCGCGUGAGGGAUGACGGCCUUCGGGUUGUAAAACUCUGUGAUCCGGGACGAAAAGGCAGAGUGCGAAGAACAAACUGCAUUGACGGUACCGGAAAAGCAAGCCACGGCUAACUACGUG
Molecule: ribosomal RNA, 513 nt
Filed under: uncultured bacterium
Lineage: Bacteria
Description: partial 16S ribosomal RNA
Rfam family: Bacterial small subunit ribosomal RNA
Source: RNAcentral